RNAcentral lists this transfer RNA (70 nucleotides) under Liobagrus marginatus. RNAcentral describes it as "tRNA-His". It matches the Rfam family "tRNA". Rfam says of the family: Transfer RNA (tRNA) molecules are approximately 80 nucleotides in length. Their secondary structure includes four short double-helical elements and three loops (D, anti-codon, and T loops). The record is from RNAcentral. Lineage: Eukaryota; Metazoa; Chordata; Actinopteri; Siluriformes; Amblycipitidae.
GUAGAUAUAGUUUAACUAAAACAUUAGAUUGUGAUUCUAAAAAUGGGGGUUAAACUCCCCCUGUCCACCG